AGAUACUCUAGAAGAAUAAAAUAUUUAUACGUGUGCUGUCCUCCUUUUCUCUCUGCACAACAGAGAGAAUAAGUGAAGCUGCUUUGAAUCUGAAAUAAGUUAUUGAUCCAUGAGAGGACCUUCCCCCUUAUCUCAUGACUACUUUGCUUACGAGCCUGUGAUGUGAGACCUUGUUAAUGGCUUUCUGAAAGUCCAAGUACACUCUACCAACUGGAUCACACUGGUGCAAGGAUCUGCAAUAGUAUCCUGAUGCAGAAAUCAAGACCGUCAUCAGGACUUGAUAACUUUCACCCAAGAGUUUUAAAAUAAUUGGCCAAGGAGCUUUCUGAAUAGUAAGAUG
Mauremys mutica (yellowpond turtle) is the source of this 340-nucleotide long non-coding RNA. RefSeq lists it as uncharacterized. The transcript has 3 exons. The record is from RefSeq and is a predicted model, not a curated record. Lineage: Eukaryota; Metazoa; Chordata; Testudines; Geoemydidae.